Molecule: long non-coding RNA, 162 nt
Organism: Quercus lobata
Lineage: Eukaryota; Viridiplantae; Streptophyta; Magnoliopsida; Fagales; Fagaceae
Exons: 3
Source: RefSeq, a predicted model, not a curated record
CGUGAUUUGUUUGGCCCUAAGCGUUCUCAGAAUCUUGAAUUCCACCUGGGUGAUCUUAGGAAUAAGGAUUUGGAGAAGCUCUUUUCUCAAACACAGACUACAGAUCACACUAAAUGGGUUGGCGCAUUUCACAAGAAGCAGGAUUUUAUUGAUGUUGUAGAG